Molecule: long non-coding RNA, 637 nt
Organism: Aethina tumida (small hive beetle)
Lineage: Eukaryota; Metazoa; Arthropoda; Insecta; Coleoptera; Nitidulidae
Exons: 3
Source: RefSeq, a predicted model, not a curated record
AAGCAACAUUUACUCCCUGAUGUGGAAGUUACAACUCGAAGAACAAACUUAUAAGUGAACUUAAAUCUUCAAUGAAGACGUCUUGCAUACAUUUCGAAGCAGAAAGAACAGCAGCAGAUUAGUGGCUGACAAGUCGUCGAAGGAUCCACAUCAGCAUUUACCAAAAUUUUUUGCUGAUGAAGUUACAACUCAAAGAACAAACUUACAAGUGAAUUUAAAACAUGAAUACUUUUCGCAAAGCAACAGCAACAAGGACAUUGUUGAACGAUCAGCAUUGACAUGGUCAAAAUUUACUCUUCGAUGUGUGAGUUAAGGAUAAUUCAAAAGCUAAGAAACUCGACAUUCAUCCAAAAGCUUUCAAGAAUGGGAAUUCCGUUGACGUUGAUCGGCAAAUUCGGUUGAUCUAAAUUGAAAAUAGGUACUCUAAUAUUCAAAAAAAAAUUCAAUUAUUUUUACAUCAACUACCGUUUAAUAACAUUUUUGAAUAUGUAAUAGUAAUAUUUUUAAUGCUAUUCUUAAUUCUUCUGCAUACUAUUACAUUUUUAACAUAGCAACAUUUUUUCAAAAUUUAACGGGAAUUCAAUUUAAUGUUGGAUCAGAAGGGUGUCCGGUAUUCCAAAUUCUUUGUUUGUAAUUC